AUACGAACUGUGCAAACGUUAUUCGGAAUCACUGGGCUUAAAGGGUGCGUAGGCGGGUUUGAAGGUCUGAUGUGAAAGCCCACGGCUCAACCGUGGAAUUGCGUUGGAAACCACAAGCCUUGAGGGAGUAAGAGGUGAGCGGAACUAAUGGUGGAGCGGUGAAAUGCGUUGAUAUCAUUAGGAACACCGGUGGCGAAAGCGGCUCACUGGGACUCUUCUGACGCUGAGGCACGAAAGCUAGGGGAGCGAACGGGAUUAGAAACCCCUGUAGUCC
Molecule: ribosomal RNA, 274 nt
Filed under: uncultured bacterium
Lineage: Bacteria
Description: partial 16S ribosomal RNA
Rfam family: Bacterial small subunit ribosomal RNA
Source: RNAcentral